RNAcentral lists this ribosomal RNA (496 nucleotides) under uncultured bacterium. RNAcentral describes it as "partial 16S ribosomal RNA". It matches the Rfam family "Bacterial small subunit ribosomal RNA", at positions 29 to 507 of the family's 1533-position model. The record is from RNAcentral.
AUGAACGCUGGCGGCGUGCCUAAUACAUGCAAGUCGAGCGAACAGAUGAGGAGCUUGCUCCUCUGACGUUAGCGGCGGACGGGUGAGUAACACGUGGAUAACCUACCUAUAAGACUGGGAUAACUUCGGGAAACCGGAGCUAAUACCGGAUAAUAUAUUGAACCGCAUGGUUGAAUAGUGAAAGACGGUUUUGCUGUCACUUAUAGAUGGAUCCGCGCCGCAUUAGCUAGUUGGUAAGGUAACGGCUUACCAAGGCAACGAUGCGUAGCCGACCUGAGAGGGUGAUCGGCCACACUGGAACUGAGACACGGUCCAGACUCCUACGGGAGGCAGCAGUAGGGAAUCUUCCGCAAUGGGCGAAAGCCUGACGGAGCAACGCCGCGUGAGUGAUGAAGGUCUUCGGAUCGUAAAACUCUGUUAUUAGGGAAGAACAAAUGUGUAAGUAACUAUGCACGUCUUGACGGUACCUAAUCAGAAAGCCACGGCUAACUACGUG